RNAcentral lists this small RNA (790 nucleotides) under uncultured Cryptococcus. Its description in RNAcentral is "eukaryotic LSU rRNA". The stretch from base 505 to 790 matches the Rfam family "Eukaryotic large subunit ribosomal RNA", at positions 1 to 281 of the family's 3401-position model. Lineage: Eukaryota; Fungi; Basidiomycota; Tremellomycetes. The record is from RNAcentral.
CUUGGUCAUUUAGAGGAAGUAAAAGUCAUAACAAGGUUUCCGUAGGUGAACCUGCGGAAGGAUCAUUAAUAAUGCCCUCUGGCUUCGGUCAGCUGGGUUCAAUGUGUGUCAUCUCUUCGGAGAUGGCCAUCCACACACACCGUGAACUGUGACUUCGGUCAUCACAAACUUUUAGUAAUGAAUGUAAAAAUCAUAACAAAAUAAAACUUUUAACAACGGAUCUCUUGGCUCUCGCAUCGAUGAAGAACGCAGCGAAAUGCGAUAAGUAAUGUGAAUUGCAGAAUUCAGUGAAUCAUCGAAUCUUUGAACGCACCUUGCGCCCUUUGGUAUUCCGAAGGGCAUGCCUGUUUGAGUGUCAUGAAACCUCACUCCACUUGGGUUUUUGCCUGAGUGAUAGUGUAUUGGGUGUUGCCUUGCCAAAGGCUCGCCUUAAAAGAAUAAGCACCUUGGAUGUAAUACGUUUCAUCCUUUCGGGUGGCUAAUAACCCCACAUAACUCAUGAUCUGGCCUCAAAUCAGGUAGGGCUACCCGCUGAACUUAAGCAUAUCAAUAAGCGGAGGAAAAGAAACUAACUAGGAUUCCCUUAGUAACGGCGAGUGAACCGGGAUGAGCUCAAAUUUGAAAUCUGGCGUCUUUCAGGCGUCCGAGUUGUAAUCUAUAGAGGCGUUUUCCGCGCCGGACCGCGUCCAAGUCUCUUGGAAUAGAGUAUCAAAGAGGGUGACAAUCCCGUACUUGACGCGACAACCGGUGCUCUGUGAUACGUUCUCAACGAGUCGAGUUGUUUGGGAAU